UAGUAAGAAGUAAAUUUUACAUUUAGUUUCGACCUAAAAUUUUGGUUAUAAUAACCCUUACUUU
RNAcentral lists this transfer RNA (64 nucleotides) under Curculio elephas. Its description in RNAcentral is "tRNA-Arg". The record is from RNAcentral. Lineage: Eukaryota; Metazoa; Arthropoda; Insecta; Coleoptera; Curculionidae.